CAUUAUCAUUUCAUUUUGCUGAAUUUUAAAAGAAGAGAAUAGAAGGUGAAGAAGAGGAGCAAAAGGGGAACAAGUGAGAGCUAGGGUUUGAAGAAUCAAAGAGGUUCUGGAGUUAGUAGCUCGCGUGUGAUCUUAGUCGGAGUUUCUUCUGAGUUAUUUGGAGAUUAGGUAGUGAGUCGAUGCUCUGGUCAUGUAACACUGGGUAGACUAGUUAUUUGAACUCAUUUUUCUAUUCGGUUAUGUAUUACGUUUGAUUUGAGAACAUGUCAUGUUACUACUUGUUGUUUGAUAGGCUCUUAAGCCAAAUAUUCUGAAUUAUGUUUUAAUUUAUGUUGAUAUGACUAUUGAGACUUGAUCAUGGUAUGGGACAUGGAUCAUUUUAUGAAACACAUGAGUAUUUAGUAGUU
Molecule: long non-coding RNA, 407 nt
Organism: Vicia villosa (hairy vetch)
Lineage: Eukaryota; Viridiplantae; Streptophyta; Magnoliopsida; Fabales; Fabaceae
Exons: 2
Source: RefSeq, a predicted model, not a curated record